UGGGGAAUUUUGCACAAUGGGGGAAACCCUGAUGCAGCGACGCCGCGUGAUUUAGAAGGCCUUCGGGUUGUAAAAAUCUUUUCUAUGGGACGAAAAUGACAGUACCAUAGGAAUAAGGACCGGCUAAUUACGUGCCAGCAGCCGCGGUAAUACGUAAGGUCCGAGCGUUGUCCGGAAUCAUUGGGCGUAAAGGGUACGUAGGCGGGUAAGCAAGUUAGAAGUGAAAUCCUAUAGCUCAACUAUAGUAAGCUUUUAAAACUGCUCAUCUUGAGGUAUGGAAGGGAAAGUGGAAUUCCUAGUGUAGCGGUGAAAUGCGCAGAUAUUAGGGGGAAUACCGGUGGCGAAGGCGACUUGCUGGCCAUAACCUGACGCUGAGGUACGAAAGCGUGGGUAGCAAACAGG
RNAcentral lists this ribosomal RNA (402 nucleotides) under bacterium. RNAcentral's name for it is "partial 16S ribosomal RNA". It matches the Rfam family "Bacterial small subunit ribosomal RNA", at positions 355 to 776 of the family's 1533-position model. The record is from RNAcentral.